GGGGGCGUGGCGGAAUUGGCAUACGCAGCGGACUUAAAAUCCGCAGCCGAAAGGAUUGUGGGUUCGAGUCCCACCGCCCCUACCA
RNAcentral lists this transfer RNA (85 nucleotides) under Thermophilibacter immobilis. RNAcentral describes it as "Olsenella sp. LZLJ-2 tRNA-Leu". It matches the Rfam family "tRNA". From Rfam's summary of the family: Transfer RNA (tRNA) molecules are approximately 80 nucleotides in length. The record is from RNAcentral. Lineage: Bacteria; Bacillati; Actinomycetota; Coriobacteriia; Coriobacteriales; Atopobiaceae.